GUUUACCAAAAACAUAGCCCUUAAAAUAAUUAAAGGUGUGACCUGCCCAAUGGUUAUUAAAUAAAACAUGUUAAAAUCAUUUUAAAAUAACUUAAAGGACGCGGUAUCUUGACCGUGAUAAUGUAGCAUAAUCACUCGCCACUUAAUUAGUGGAUUGUAUGAAUGGUUAAACGAAUAUAAAACUGUCUCGAAUAAAGAAUUUAUAAAAUUGGAGUAAUAGUAAAGAUACUAUUAUAAAUUAUAAGACGAAAAGACCCUAUAGAGCUUAACUAUAAUUUCUUUAAUAAAUAGUAAAUUCAUUUACUUAUACAAAGAAACUGGUAGUUUAGUUGGGGCGACUAUCUUCUAAAAACAACGAAGAUAAACAAAAUUAAUUAAAUAAUUUAUUGUAUAAUUAAUAUAUUUAACAAUUACAAACGUAGGUAAUAAUGACCCGUUUUCCUUGUAGAAAAAAGAAAACGAUCAAUAAAUAAAAGCUACCUUAGGGAUAACAGGAUAAUUUUAUUUUAGAGAUCCUAUCGAAAAUAAAGUUUGUCACCUCGAUGUU
This 547-nucleotide ribosomal RNA is filed under the name Scrippsia pacifica. Its description in RNAcentral is "partial 16S ribosomal RNA". It matches the Rfam family "Bacterial large subunit ribosomal RNA", at positions 1802 to 2533 of the family's 2925-position model. The record is from RNAcentral. Lineage: Eukaryota; Metazoa; Cnidaria; Hydrozoa; Anthoathecata; Polyorchidae.